UUGGCUCCCAUGCUCCAGUGUUCUCCGAUGAGCACUCUGGCUUGCAUCCCAUCGUGCAGCUGCUGGAAGAUGCAGAGAAACUUGGGUGGUACUCCCAAGUUUGGAGAGGUGUUUCCAGAGCAACUCACGGUU
Hippocampus comes (tiger tail seahorse) is the source of this 132-nucleotide long non-coding RNA. RefSeq lists it as uncharacterized. NCBI's taxonomy places the organism in Eukaryota, Metazoa, Chordata, Actinopteri, Syngnathiformes, Syngnathidae. The record is from RefSeq and is a predicted model, not a curated record. The transcript is spliced from 3 exons.